RNAcentral lists this ribosomal RNA (478 nucleotides) under uncultured bacterium. RNAcentral's name for it is "bacterial SSU rRNA". It matches the Rfam family "Bacterial small subunit ribosomal RNA", at positions 29 to 524 of the family's 1533-position model. The record is from RNAcentral.
AGCGAACGCUGGCGGCAGGCUUAACACAUGCAAGUCGAGCGGGCGUAGCAAUACGUCAGCGGCAGACGGGUGAGUAACGCGUGGGAACAUACCUUUUGGUUCGGAACAACACAGGGAAACUUGUGCUAAUACCGGAUAAGCCCUUACGGGGAAAGAUUUAUCGCCGAAAGAUUGGCCCGCGUCUGAUUAGCUAGUUGGUGAGGUAACGGCUCACCAAGGCGACGAUCAGUAGCUGGUCGAGAGGAUGAUCAGCCACAUUGGGACUGAGACACGGCCCAAACUCCUACGGGAGGCAGCAGUGGGGAAUAUUGGACAAUGGGCGCAAGCCUGAUCCAGCCAUGCCGCGUGAGUGAUGAAAGGCCCUAGGGUUGUAAACCGCUUUUGGUCGGGAAGAAAAGGCAACUACCUAAUACGGGUUGUUCUUGACGGUACCGGCAGAAUAAGCACCGGCUAACUACGUGCCAGCCGCCGCGGUAAG